AACGAACGCUGGCGGCAGGCUUAACACAUGCAAGUCGAGCGAGACCUUCGGGUCUAGCGGCGGACGGGCGAGUAACGCGUGGGAACGUGCCCUUCUCUACGGAAUAGCCCCGGGAAACUGGGAGUAAUACCGUAUACGCCCUUUGGGGGAAAGAUUUAUCGGAGAAGGAUCGGCCCGCGUUGGAUUAGGUAGUUGGUGGGGUAAUGGCCCACCAAGCCGACGAUCCAUAGCUGGUUUGAGAGGAUGAUCAGCCACACUGGGACUGAGACACGGCUCAGACUCCUACGGGAGGCAGCAGUGGGGAAUCUUAGACAAUGGGGGCAACCCUGAUCUAGCCAUGCCGCGUGAGUGAUGAAGGCCUUAGGGUUGUAAAGCUCUUUCAGCUGGGAAGAUAAUGACGGUACCAGCAGAAGAAGCCCCGGCUAACUCCGUG
Molecule: ribosomal RNA, 433 nt
Filed under: uncultured bacterium
Lineage: Bacteria
Description: partial 16S ribosomal RNA
Rfam family: Bacterial small subunit ribosomal RNA
Source: RNAcentral